Molecule: transfer RNA, 71 nt
Filed under: Marmota monax (woodchuck)
Lineage: Eukaryota; Metazoa; Chordata; Mammalia; Rodentia; Sciuridae
Description: tRNA.Ala
Rfam family: tRNA
About the family: Transfer RNA (tRNA) molecules are approximately 80 nucleotides in length.
Source: RNAcentral
GGGGUUGUAGCUCAAUGGUACAGUGCUUACCUUGCAUGUGGAAGGCACUGAGUUCAAUCCUCAGCACCACA